RNAcentral lists this long non-coding RNA (763 nucleotides) under Marmota monax (woodchuck). The record is from RNAcentral. Lineage: Eukaryota; Metazoa; Chordata; Mammalia; Rodentia; Sciuridae.
AAGUGAUGAGCGGGAUGCAGAAUUCACCUGGCCCGCGGCGCACUGGGAAGAGACUGCAGGCUGCAGGCGGGGAGGGGCGGGGAGGGCAGAGAGCCUGCAGGGAGCUGGCCCCACCGCGCGGGAGGAAGGGGCGCUUCCCGGGCUUGCCAUCAUCGCACCUGGCUCACAGCUGACAGCGCCUGGCCCGUCAAUUUCAUUUCCUUCAGUACUUGCAAAUGCUGCCUUCGCCUCCAUAAGUUUCCGCAAGUGGCACACAAAGUGAGUGCAGUGGACCGUGAAAAAAAUGAAAGGUUUUCUAGGUUUUUCAGAAUCUUUCCUUCCAGGGCUCUCCCCUGCUGUGUUUUUUGUAUUAAAUGCCUACCUGCCUGCCUUCUUUCCUUCCUUCCUUUUUCUUUUUCUCUCUUCCUCUCCUCUUCCUCCUUUCUCUCCUUCCUUUCUUUUCCCCACCUCUUCUCCUUUUCUUUCCAGUGGAACUUGAAACACCUAACCUAAUCAGCUGUAGUAUUUUUAUGUUACUACUUUUCAUCUUCAAAUCCCAGGUGGGUCUUCUCCAAUCACAGAGAAUUUACCAAAAGCCACAUACAAUUAGGGAUCUUGCAGCUCAAGAAGGUAAAGGCAAUAUCAAAUAUUCAGAGAGGGGUUAUUUUUCUGGAAAUCAUUAUUUUAAUUUUGACUGUCUCAGCUUUCAUAAUAACUUAAUUGUGCAGAUUCUAUAAAUAUAAUUAAUGCUUAUUAUGUAAGAGUUUUCAAAAUGAACAUGGAG